GAAACGACUGCUAAGACUGGAUAGGAAAAAGAAAGGCAUCUUUCUUUUUUUAAAAGACCUAGUAAUAGGUAUGCGUUAGGAGGGGCUUGCGCCAUAUUAGUUAGUUGGUAAGGUAACGGCUUACCAAGACGAUGAUGUGUAGCUGGACUGAGAGGUUGAACAGCCACAUUGGGACUGAGACACGGCCCAAACUCCUACGGGAGGCAGCAGUAAGGAAUUUUCGGCAAUGGAGGCAACUCUGACCGAGCAACGCCGCGUGAACGACGAAGUACUUCGGUAUGUAAAGUUCUUUUAUCAAAGAAGAAAAGCAAAUGGCGAACCAUUUGUCUGCCGGUAUUUGAUGAAUAAGCCCCGGCUAAUUAUGUGCCAGCAGCCGCGGUAAGACAUAAGGGGCAAGUGUUAUCCGGAAUUAUUGGGCGUAAAGGGUGCGUAGGCGGCAGAGUAAGUCAGUGGUGUAAUGGCAACGCUUAACGUUGUCAGGCUAUUGAAACUACUUUGCUAGAGUUGGAUAGAGGCGAGUGGAAUUCCAUGUGUAGCGGUAAAAUGCGUAAAUAUAUGGAGGAACACCAGAGGCGUAGGCGGCUCGCUGGGUCUUAACUGACGCUGAGGCACGAAAGCGUGGGGAGCAAACAGGAUUAGAUACCCUGGUAGUCCACGCCGUAAACGAUGAGUACUAAGUGUCGGGUCAAAACCGGUACUGAAGUUAACACAUUAAGUACUCCGCCUGAGUAGUACGUACGCAAGUAUGAAACUUAAAGGAAUUGACGGGACUCCGCACAAGCGGUGGAUCAUGUUGUUUAAUUCGAAGAUACCCGAAAAACCUUACCAGGUCUUGACAUGUUCUUGCGAAACGGUAGUAAUAUCGUGGAGGUUAUCAGGAACACAGGUGGUGCAUGGUUGUCGUCAGCUCGGUCGUGAGAUGUUAGGUUAAGUCCUAAAACGAGCGAAACCCUUAUCGUUAGUUGCCAGCACGUUAUGGUGGGGACUUUAACGAGACUGCCAAUGAUAAAUUGGAGGAAGGUGAGGAUCACGUCAAAUCAGCAUGCCCCUUAUGACCUGGGCUACAAACGUGAUACAAUGGCUGCUACAAAGGGUGCUGAAACGCAAGUUCUUGGCCAAUCCCCAAAAGCAGUCUCAGUCCGGAUUGAAGUCUGCAACUCGACUUCAUGAAGUUGGAAUCGCUAGUAAUCGCGAAUCAGCAUGUCGCGGUGAAUACGUUCUCGGGGUUUGUACACACCGCCCGUCA
This 1246-nucleotide ribosomal RNA is filed under the name Candidatus Phytoplasma brasiliense. Its description in RNAcentral is "bacterial SSU rRNA". It matches the Rfam family "Bacterial small subunit ribosomal RNA", at positions 153 to 1399 of the family's 1533-position model. The record is from RNAcentral. Lineage: Bacteria; Bacillati; Mycoplasmatota; Mollicutes; Acholeplasmatales; Acholeplasmataceae.